RNAcentral lists this long non-coding RNA (1019 nucleotides) under Ananas comosus (pineapple). RNAcentral's name for it is "long non-coding RNA (ACOM_LNC013333)". The record is from RNAcentral. Lineage: Eukaryota; Viridiplantae; Streptophyta; Magnoliopsida; Poales; Bromeliaceae.
UCAAAUAGAUCCUUAUGGGUAUAUAAAAUAAUAAAAAUAAAUACAUACCAAAAUUACGAUCAUAAAUAAAAUUAUGAUAACCCACAUAGCGCUAUAGAGAAGAAAUUCUUUAUCAAUCUGCGGAAGCAAUAAGUCCGGUUAUAACCUAAACGUCAACAACCGAACUUAGAUAAUUUAGUUUUUCCUUCUUUCUCAGACACUCUCUCGUAUGGUAUGGAACUGAUGGUAGUUCUUCAUCAGAAUCCGUAUGAGAAGGUGGAAGGACCAACACCCCUUUAUGUAGAGUCCAGAUUGACUUUCCAUCAAAGUCUGACUAAGAUUUUAUUUAAUUUAAAUAGAUAGGAAAGGGAUAAGAUAUACUAUAUCAAGUAGUUCUAUAUCUAUUAGGAUUGACCUUUAUAUAUAGUAAAUCCAAAUUAAUUAUGAUUAAUUGGGCCACAAUUUUGAAAAUCCUAACAAUUUCCCACUUAGCUCAAAUUAAUCAUAUUUCUUGAACGAAUUUUCUAGACCCCAAAUUUUAUUGUGCAUUAUUAAAAACUUUAUGGUCAAAUAUCUUAAAACUCACUUGAUUUUUAGCUCAAACUAAAAGACUACAAUAAUAGAAACUUUAGCGGUCCACCUCUUCUUUUUUUUCUUCUUUUUUUUUUUUGAGAGAGAGAUAGGUAGCGUGCUACCCGCUUCGUUUAUUUUAUUUAGAAAUAAACUUAGCUGGAAAUGUGAAUCAACUAGGAUUCAAACUUGGGACAUCGGGUACCAACCACCAAGUCCUUUGCCACUUGCUCUAGGGACGGUCGGUGCGGUCCACCUCUUUAUAUUGAAAUUUUCAUUCUAUAAUUACCAUAUCAUCUUCAUCUCCUAGCCAAGUACUUUAUAUAGCACAAUUUAUAUGAAUGAACUUAAACUAUAUGUCCAUUUGUUAACAGAUAAAACUUUAUAUCUAUCAAAUGGUUCAACACAACUGUAUUAAAACUUUAACUUUAUUAAAAGAAGAUAGAAUAUUAUAAUCUUAUACAUCAAAA